RNAcentral lists this ribosomal RNA (403 nucleotides) under bacterium. RNAcentral's name for it is "partial 16S ribosomal RNA". It matches the Rfam family "Bacterial small subunit ribosomal RNA", at positions 355 to 776 of the family's 1533-position model. The record is from RNAcentral.
UGGGGAAUAUUGCACAAUGGGGGAAACCCUGAUGCAGCGACGCCGCGUGAACGAAGAAGGUAUUCGUAUCGUAAAGUUCUGUCCUAUGGGAAGAUAAUGACAGUACCAUAGAAGAAAGCUCCGGCUAAAUACGUGCCAGCAGCCGCGGUAAUACGUAUGGAGCGAGCGUUGUCCGGAAUUAUUGGGCGUAAAGGGUACGCAGGCGGUUUAAUAAGUCGAAUGUUAAAGAUCGGGGCUCAACCCCGCAAAGCAUUGGAAACUGAUAAACUUGAGUAGUGGAGAGGAAAGUGGAAUUCCUAGUGUAGUGGUGAAAUACGUAGAUAUUAGGAGGAAUACCAGUAGCGAAGGCGACUUUCUGGACACAAACUGACGCUGAGGUACGAAAGCGUGGGGAGCAAGCAGG